GCCCAGGGCGGCCGGGCCCACGACGCCGAAAGCGCCGCUGCGGUUGCCGCCUCGGAGGCUCCCCCGGGCCCCGGCGGCUGGACCCGGCGCGGGCGGGAGCCUCGGGCGGGCGGUCUGGCCCGGGACUCGGGUUUGGGCGACCAGGAGGCGCCGGUGGCCGCGCUCGGACCCGGUUCUCCAACGGAGGAGCUUUUUAACCUCUUUCCGGUGAGGUGGGAACUCAUCUUCAUGAUCGAAUUUAAAAGAACAAUGGAACCCUGACUACGUUUCAACAAAAAUAAAACUUGUUUUUUUCCCUCCUAUUGGGUGUUGGCUUUUAACUCUUUCAAAGCCGAUUCUGAAACGGCUGCAGUGAUAACAUGCGAAGGUGACUUAAGAGGUUAAAAUUAAUUUGGUUGCUGAUGGUUCUGAACAAAUAGAGUUCUUUUAUUUGAGGUAUGCCAUUUUGAAGACUGAGACAUUGGAGUUUUAUCCUAGAGGAUAAAGGAA
RNAcentral lists this long non-coding RNA (489 nucleotides) under Pongo abelii (Sumatran orangutan). Its description in RNAcentral is "lincRNA". The record is from RNAcentral. Lineage: Eukaryota; Metazoa; Chordata; Mammalia; Primates; Hominidae.